GUGGACAAUAUCCACACGGUUUGAUGUGUCUCGUUACAGAUAAGAUUAUCAUGACUCAUGUGCAAGGAUGAUACACAUAAAUCGAGAAAUGGUACAACUUUUU
Molecule: non-coding RNA, 103 nt
Organism: Vitis vinifera (wine grape)
Lineage: Eukaryota; Viridiplantae; Streptophyta; Magnoliopsida; Vitales; Vitaceae
Source: Rfam